CGGAAACAAAACUUAUUACAAUUUCAAAGAAUAUUGAAACAAUGAUAUAUGGUGAUAGUAGAAUACAAUCAUGAAUCUACCAGAAAGACUAUCUCAAAAUAGUGUUUCUGUACUCAUUCACUGGUGAAAAUAUAAACAUAUUUGAUGAUCGGAUAAGAUUAAGAACACAGUUCUUCCUUGGAUCCUCAAAGAAUAGCCAACUUAUCUGAAAAAUCCUUGUAGCCAAAAAACCUUAAAUACAGUGAACUCCAAGGUUAAAGAAGCCUCUUGGGAAGUAGUAUUGAGGUAAAAAGGAGAGGCAAAACCAAGGUAUUAAUGAAAAGACCUGCAACAAAUGGAAAUGAGUAGAUACUCGUCAAUGGAAAUGCAUAGAUAUGCAUCCAAUAACCAGCAUAGAUAAGCUCAAGUUAUCAAGUUGAAAAAUUUUCUAGUGUACUAAAUUAAACUGUCAUAUAUUCAAUCUCUCCUUCAGAAGUCCCAAGAUGAUUUUCCUGACAAGACUCAAUUACUAGUUUUAAGGAAAUGUAUAAAUAAUUCUGUUCAUUCUGUCUUACUUCUGUGUUUCAUUUUUCUGCACGAAUAGCAGGAUAACAUCAUUAAAAUACAAACUGAUUUCACAGAUUUUAUAUUGGACAUCUGGGUCUUCAAUGAUUAAAGAGAUCAUAAAUGAAAGGUUUUGACAGUACUUGGUUUGCUUCGGUAGACUUUGAAGUUGUAAGAAUCCAUGUUGUGGUGAAUAGAAAUGAUUUUUGAGAGAAAAUCAAUUUAAAACAAACUGAACCUACAACUACCACUGUUUUGAAAGAUCAAACCUGAAAUACCAGUUCAUAGCAGUAUAGGAGCAUGGCACUUACCAUUUUGUGAGGAUGUUGCCGUAGGAAGAGAUGGAAGUUUUGUAGCUGCAAUUGCAUGAUUGAAGGAACAAAUGAAUUAGCCAUGGUACAGAAUGGAAAUAUGUCUUUGCUCAUGGUAAAAAUAUUACAAAAGACAAUCCAAUGUUGAAGACAGGAACAUGGGAUAUAGGUGAGGAUCUUGUUAGUCAAGGAUUCGUUGUUAUUAUUGUUUCUUUUUCUUUCAUUGAUAGCAUCUACCUAAUAAUUGCAUACUGUUAUAAUUCCCUUUUUAGCUUACAUAAAUAAGAAAUUACGUUAAUUUGCCAGCCAUUUAGAUGGUAAUUGAGCAUGCAUUAUUUAUGAAAGAGAAUACAAUGAAAGAAGGCACGCAUCGAGAAAUUCUGGACAUUUAUAUCAUUUGACUGUUGAAAAACAUAGAUGAAAAUGAACAUAGACAAGCCAUUUUGGAAGUUGGCAUGUGGGGCACAGCUUUUAAGUUGAUGGUGGCCUGAAUUCAAUUGGUUCUCCAAUGUUAAUGGUUUGAAACUAGUGUAGAGAACUGGUAUCAGUAUUAUAGAUCUAUUCAAACAACAAUAGUAUCGGGACAUGCUUCAAUUGGUCCCACUUUUCUUUGGCAAUUGAAAAAGAAAGCAGAUUGAUAAAUAUAAAAAAUCAAUUAACUUCUCAUGAAGCACUCAUGAAGCUUCUACCGGAAUUUGAAACCUCUCUUGAAGCACUCAUGAAGCUUGUACCAGAAUUUGAAACCAUUACCCUGCCUUACUGAAACAAUGUUUUUCUUGCAAACAACUAGGUCAUAUUACUUGCAAUUGCAACAGGAAAUGUUGUAACUAUUGUAAGCAACAUGGUCAUAUCAUCAAAGAGUGCCCAACUAUAUGCACCUAGAAACUAGUGAAGGGCCUUGAAUAUUGGAGCUUAAACUAUAUCCAACAAAUGGUACUAUCCACUCUUUCUACCUUGAGUAUUCAGGAUUGGACAUCAUGGAAAGUGAUUGCAAAGGGACAUAAGUAGACAGA
RNAcentral lists this small RNA (1867 nucleotides) under Vigna angularis var. angularis. RNAcentral describes it as "Non-protein coding transcript". Lineage: Eukaryota; Viridiplantae; Streptophyta; Magnoliopsida; Fabales; Fabaceae. The record is from RNAcentral.